Molecule: ribosomal RNA, 253 nt
Filed under: uncultured bacterium
Lineage: Bacteria
Description: partial 16S ribosomal RNA
Rfam family: Bacterial small subunit ribosomal RNA
Source: RNAcentral
GACGAACCGUGCAACCGUUAUUCGGAAUCACUGGGCUUAAAGGGCGCGUAGGCGGGCAGGCAAGUCAGGGGUGAAAGCCCACGGCUCAACCGUGGAAGCGCCUUUGAUACUGCCGGUCUCGAGGGAGGUAGGGGCGUGCGGAACUUCCGGUGGAGCGGUGAAAUGCGUAGAUAUCUGGAGGAAUACCGGUGGCGAAGGCGGCAUCCUGGACCGACAUUGACGCUGAUGAGCGAAAGCUAGGGGAGCAAACGGG